RNAcentral lists this ribosomal RNA (374 nucleotides) under uncultured organism. RNAcentral describes it as "bacterial SSU rRNA". It matches the Rfam family "Bacterial small subunit ribosomal RNA", at positions 526 to 896 of the family's 1533-position model. The record is from RNAcentral.
CGGGGGGAGCAAGCGUUGUUCGGGUUUACUGGGCGUAAAGGGCGCGUAGGCGGCCACCGCAAGUCGACUGUGAAAUCUCCGGGCUUAACCCGGAAAGGUCAGCCGAUACUGCGGGGCUAGAGUGCAGAAGGGGCAACUGGAAUUCUCGGUGUAGCGGUGAAAUGCGUAGAUAUCGAGAGGAACACCUGCGGCGAAGGCGGGUUGCUGGGCUGACACUGACGCUGAGGCGCGAAAGCUAGGGGAGCGAACGGGAUUAGAUACCCCGGUAGUCCUAGCCUUAAACGAUGAAUGCUUGGUGUCUGGGGUUUUAUAGUCCCCGGGUGCCGUCGCUAACGCUUUAAGCAUUCCGCCUGGGGAGUACGGUCGCAAGACUG